GAUGAACGCUAGCGGCAGGCCUAACACAUGCAAGUCGAGGGAGAAGCCCUUCGGGGCAGAAACCGGCGCACGGGUGCGUAACGCGUAUGCAACCUACCUUUCACAGGGGGAUAGCCCGAAGAAAUUUGGAUUAAUACCCCAUAAUAUUAUUGGAUGGCAUCAUUUGAUAAUUAAAAUUACGAUGGUGAAAGAUGGGCAUGCGUCCUAUUAGCUAGUUGGAGUGGUAACGGCACCCCAAGGCUACGAUAGGUAGGGGUCCUGAGAGGGAGAUCCCCCACACUGGUACUGAGACAGGGACCAGACUCCUACGGGAGGCAGCAGUGAGGAAUAUUGGUCAAUGGUCGGAAGACUGAACCAGCCAUGCCGCGUGCAGGAAGAAUGCCUUAUGGGUUGUAAACUGCUUUUAUAUGGGAAGAAUAAGGAGUACGCGUACUUNGANGACGGU
Molecule: ribosomal RNA, 445 nt
Filed under: uncultured bacterium
Lineage: Bacteria
Description: bacterial SSU rRNA
Rfam family: Bacterial small subunit ribosomal RNA
Source: RNAcentral